UCCCAUAUAGUCUAGCAGUUAGGAUUCCUGGUUUUCAAUCAGGGGGCCUGGGUUUCACUCCUGGUGUAGGAA
Molecule: transfer RNA, 72 nt
Filed under: Neotoma lepida (desert woodrat)
Lineage: Eukaryota; Metazoa; Chordata; Mammalia; Rodentia; Cricetidae
Rfam family: tRNA
About the family: Transfer RNA (tRNA) molecules are approximately 80 nucleotides in length.
Source: Rfam by way of RNAcentral